This 77-nucleotide transfer RNA is filed under the name bacterium ADurb.Bin132. RNAcentral's name for it is "tRNA-Pro". It matches the Rfam family "tRNA". Rfam says of the family: Transfer RNA (tRNA) molecules are approximately 80 nucleotides in length. Their secondary structure includes four short double-helical elements and three loops (D, anti-codon, and T loops). Further hydrogen bonds mediate the characteristic L-shaped molecular structure. tRNAs have two regions of fundamental functional importance: the anti-codon, which is responsible for specific mRNA codon recognition, and the 3' end, to which the tRNAs corresponding amino acid is attached (by aminoacyl-tRNA synthetases). tRNAs cope with the degeneracy of the genetic code in two manners: having more than one tRNA (with a specific anti-codon) for a particular amino acid; and 'wobble' base-pairing, i.e. permitting non-standard base-pairing at the 3rd anti-codon position. RNAcentral also lists the same sequence under 3 other names. The record is from RNAcentral.
CGGGACGUGGCUCAGUUUGGUAGAGCGCUUGGUUCGGGACCAAGAGGUCGCCAGUUCGAAUCUGGCCGUCCCGACCA